GUUACUGUGUGUGUGUUUUGUUUUUCUAAACUAAAAACCAGAAAAGAUGUAAAGAUAGGAAUAUAUUUAAAAAAUUUGGAUUUAUGUAGCUUUGUUGGUGGUGAUGACUGAGAAAAACCUAAAUGAAAAAGAACAUAUUCUUCUUUUUAGAAACAUGCAACUUUCUUGAUGUUUAUUCUGUCACUAAUUAUACUGUUUACUUUGUGUAUAGAGAUAAUGUGUUUAUAUUCACAUUGUUUUAAUUUAAACCUCUCACCCCCAUUCUUCGGCCGCAGUUUUUGAGGAUAUUAGAUGUGACAAGAAAAGUUUUCUUUGUGUCUGAAUGAUUAAUUUAACAGGUCCCUGCUUAGUCAGAUAAAAGCUUAAGUCAGACAAAAGAUGCACAAGAUCACAAUUAAGGCCUUGAUUACUGUUCUAUAAACAAUUUGCCACUUGUUCAGGUGUAAAGCAGUGAUGCAGUCAUUUUUAUUCAAGAAUAUUACAUAAUGCGGUUCCAUAUUUGCUUUAUUUUCCUUGAGUUUCCCCUCCAAUGGUGGUUUUAUUUGCAGUAAAAUACAGGAGAAUUGAGAUGCAAGCGCACAAGGAGUAGAAAACAACUAAUUCAAAUUCAGACAACUUUAUUUGUCCCCAGGGGGCAAUUAAAAAGACAUUGUUUUUGUGCCACAAAACACAUGAAUCACAAAUGCAAUGCAUGAAAAUCUUCAUAAUCCAAUGAGAAAGCUUUAUUUCACCUCUAAGAGCAGCUAAACUUUCCAACAACCACCAGGCUAGUUUUAGCCACAUGCUAACAAAGCACAUUUUCAGAAACAUUGCAUUGCAGUUCUUCUAGCUGGUGAAGAACAAACAGCUCAUGCUAUUAAACUGUGCAUAUUUGUUGCCAUGUUUAUAUGAUACACAAAACUGUGUUGGUUCUGUGUUCCGCUUGUGUAAUGGGCAAACAGCAGGAAUUGCUCACGAUAUUUGCCUGUGCUAUAUUAGCAUAUUAAUGCUAAUGUAGCUUGUGUGACAGGAGCGCCUGCAUAUUUCUGCAUAUUCUGCAUAUUUGCUUUCAGCCUCUGAAAAUUGUCAUCUCUCAGCUAGCUUGAGCUAAAGUUGUGUCAUCCAAGGUAGUGUUAUCAUUGCUAUUAGCUCUAAUUUUCCCAUUGGAAUACAAUAUUUUAAGCUAACAUCAAAGUGCAGCACAUGAAAAGGCUUUGGGAGUGUGGAAUUAAAUCACUUUUACACUAUAGGUUUACUUGUUUUGCUCAGCAGGCAACCAGCAGAAAUUAAAUGUAUGCUAAUGUAACUUGCCCAAGUUAUAUUAGCAUAUUUAUGCCAAUAGCUAUAGCUUGUGUGACGGGUUUGUUCAGUUUUACUUUCAACCUCUGCAAUUUCUUAUGUUUCAUAGCUAACUCAAGCCAACUUUCUGUCAUCUGGCUUAUCUUUGCGAUUGGUUUCUCACAGAACGUUGGUAUAUUAGCAGUGCAGCAUGUGGAAAAACUUCAGUAAUGUGGGAUUAAAUCACCUCUGCACUGUAGUUUUAUUGAUUUCGACGAAGUAGUCAAAGGUUGCUGAUAAGUUUGGACAUUUUGUGGUUUUCUAGCUUCUCGUUGCAGGCUCAUCCUCAAUUAUUUGUCUACGAGAAAGCCAUGAAUGGAAAUUAAAGGUAAUGGUGGUUCCAUUUAGCUUCGCAACCAGAAAAAAAAAGACAAUUCAUCAUUUUCUUUCACGGUCCAGGUUUUUACCCCCCUGUAGCAGUAGUUUUGUUGCUGUAAUUGGAAAGCACAGAUACAAUCAGUACAUUCAGGCCAAGAAAUAUUUAUUCAUAGAGUAAAUAUCAGGCAGAAAAGCUGCCAGGAAAGAUUUACAGGUUUUAUUUGGUGGUGCUUAAACAGAUAAUUUCUGUUCAAUAUGAGAACUAUUUGUUUAAUAAUAGUUUUGUAUAAUCUCAACAGUAACUUUAACCUGAUAUGUAACAAUGGUCUUGGCAUGGUGCGGACGAGUCUAGACAUCUGGGCAAGUAGAAGCACAGCUCAGCAGCGGACUGUUGCACAAUGAGAAGGCUAUAUAUCACAGAGUUUGUGAAAAUGUCAUAGAAAAACUGGGGCCAGACAUCAAGACAUGAGCAGAUGCAUUCAACAGACACAGCAAGGUCUGUUUCAGUCAUUUCCUUCCUGGGUAAGUUUACCUCAUGUGAGUGGUGUAGUACGUCGGUGUUCGUGCUGGAUGCUGAGAUAACACAGCGAGGGCAGCUGAAGGGCGGACAGGUCGGCAUCUACAGAGCAGCGGCAUUUCUCUAAUUGGCACUUGUUAUAGCGAGAAUGAGUCAGUGCGUUAUUGUUCGCGCUUGACGUAAUCUUUGACGGCAUCAACACCCCCCUCCACUAACAUGACAAUAUAAAAUUUGCUGUUAUUCACACAGUCGUUUAAAUGGUGAAAUUCCUCUCUAGACUAAUAACAUUAUUCAUAGCUUUGAUUUAAGUGUACAAUUUGAAACAAGUGUUUGGACAAUGAUGUAGUUUCUGUUGUGUUACAAAACGUGCUUUAUGAUGGUCAUAUAUUUCUCUGACAAUGUGCUGUGUUUUCAUAGUAGAAACCUGUUAAAUCAAUUGCCUCAGUUCAUGGACUGUUUCAAGACCUUCUGACUUUGCCUAAUAUUGUAAUGUUUCUUGAUAUGAUCUCGUAUCCCUUCCAACUGUUAUAAUAGCACUGAAUUUACAAUUUUUUAUUGAACAUUUUUGUAUUUGUAAUAAUAGAAAUGUUUGAGAAAAUGUUAGUUCAAACAUCUAUUAUGAUCUCCUUUUAGAUUCUAGAUCAUUAUCAAGAUUCAAAGUCUGAGUGACCCAGUGUGUAAUAAAGUAAACUGAACAACAUUCUUUUGUUUCAACAAGUCUGAAAAUCAACAUCGGAAAAUAACUUGGUUUUUCUCCCAUGGG
Molecule: long non-coding RNA, 2915 nt
Organism: Amphiprion ocellaris (clown anemonefish)
Lineage: Eukaryota; Metazoa; Chordata; Actinopteri; Pomacentridae
Source: Ensembl